This 547-nucleotide ribosomal RNA is filed under the name uncultured bacterium. RNAcentral describes it as "bacterial SSU rRNA". It matches the Rfam family "Bacterial small subunit ribosomal RNA", at positions 355 to 896 of the family's 1533-position model. The record is from RNAcentral.
UGGGGAAUAUUGCGCAAUGGGGGGAACCCUGACGCAGCCAUGCCGCGUGAAUGAAGAAGGCCUUAGGGUUGUAAAGUUCUUUCGGUAUUGAGGAAGGUUGAUGUGUUAAUAGCACAUCAAAUUGACGUUAAAUACAGAAGAAGCACCGGCUAACUCCGUGCCAGCAGCCGCGGUAAUACGGAGGGUGCGAGCGUUAAUCGGAAUAACUGGGCGUAAAGGGCACGCAGGCGGUUAUUUAAGUGAGGUGUGAAAGCCCCGGGCUUAACCUGGGAAUUGCAUUUCAGACUGGGUAACUAGAGUACUUUAGGGAGGGGUAGAAUUCCACGUGUAGCGGUGAAAUGCGUGGAGAUGUGGAGGAAUACCGAAGGCAAAGGCAGCCCCUUGGGAAUGUACUGACGCUCAUGUGCGAAAGCGUGGGGAGCAAACAGGAUUAGAUACCCUGGUAGUCCACGCUGUAAACGCUGUCGAUUUGGGGGUUGGGGUUUAACUCUGGCGCCCGUAGCUAACGUGAUAAAUCGACCGCCUGGGGAGUACGGCCGCAAGGUUA